UUCAAUGAGAAAAGAGGCAUGAUGGGAGGAAGGCUGUCCCUUGGUAGAAGAGACCAUAUUUCACAUGGAGGCUGCUAUUCCAUAUGGCAGCCAUCUAAAGGCACAGAGCAUUAUGGGAAGGAAGCUACUGUUUUUUGUAGCAGCCAUCUUGAGGGCUGAGGACCUAGGCCAGAAAUGCAGGAUGAACAGAAGAGAUGUACCAAGAAAUAGGACUGAAAGUUGGGGCAACUCCAUGGCCAGAAAAACAGGGACAGAUCACAACCAUUGUGUCAGGAUCUGUGCAGAUCUCUCUUAUACCAGACAUUUGGGCGUGGAGUGGCUCAGCGGGAUGAACAGCACUGAGGUAAGAAGAGUGCUCUACCUGUAAGCUCCCAUGUGUCCUCAUCACAGAAAGUGAUGUUGGAAGAACAGAAUGGACAGUUACCAGGUUGAUAGGAAAGUCAACAUGUGAGGCUUUGUACUGGCAGAAUGAGAAAUGUCGAAGAGAGGGAGGAGGAGAAGUGUGGGCCUAAAGCCAGAAGGCAGAGGGCUCUCUUGAACAUUGUUCCAAUAGCAG
This 556-nucleotide long non-coding RNA is filed under the name Fukomys damarensis (Damara mole-rat). RNAcentral's name for it is "lncRNA (ENSFDAG00000032695.1)". Lineage: Eukaryota; Metazoa; Chordata; Mammalia; Rodentia; Bathyergidae. The record is from RNAcentral.